RNAcentral lists this ribosomal RNA (510 nucleotides) under uncultured bacterium. RNAcentral describes it as "partial 16S ribosomal RNA". It matches the Rfam family "Bacterial small subunit ribosomal RNA", at positions 28 to 507 of the family's 1533-position model. The record is from RNAcentral.
GACGAACGCUGGCGGCGUGCUUAACACAUGCAAGUCGAACGAAGAGCGACGGAAGCUUGCUUCUAUCAAUCUUAGUGGCGAACGGGUGAGUAACGCGUAAUCAACCUGCCCUUCAGAGGGGGACAACAGUUGGAAACGACUGCUAAUACCGCAUACGAUCUAAUCUCGGCAUCGAGGAUGGAUGAAAGGUGGCCUCUACAUGUAAGCUAUCACUGAAGGAGGGGAUUGCGUCGGAUUAGCUAGUUGGAGGGGUAACGGCCCACCAAGGCGAUGAUCAGUAGCCGGUCUGAGAGGAUGGACGGCCACAUUGGGACUGAGACACGGCCCAGACUCCUACGGGAGGCAGCAGUGGGGAAUCUUCCGCAAUGGACGAAAGUCUGACGGAGCAACGCCGCGUGAGUGAUGACGGCCUUCGGGUUGUAAAGCUCUGUUAGUCGGGACGAAAGGCCUUCUUGCGAAUAGUGAGAAGGAUUGACGGUACCGGAAUAGAAAGCCACGGCUAACUACGUG